Sus scrofa (pig) is the source of this 1635-nucleotide long non-coding RNA. RefSeq lists it as uncharacterized. The record is from RefSeq and is a predicted model, not a curated record. NCBI's taxonomy places the organism in Eukaryota, Metazoa, Chordata, Mammalia, Artiodactyla, Suidae.
CGCCGGGCGACUCGCCGUUCACUAAUUAGGUACAACUGAGCGUGGAACCCGGCUCAGGUGAAGGCACUUGGCGAGUAGGUUUCUGAGCAGAGCGUUCCUCCACCACCAGCGUUCUCCCGAGCAGGCCUCAGAUGGGAUCCCAAGGCCCUCCGGGGCUAGCAUGGCACCUGGGCCCGUGGGUUGCCGCAAUGCCAGGCAGUAGCCAGCUCUGGCUCGUGCAGACUUCUAGGCUGGGACUGGGAGCCCCAGGUGGUGCCCUCUGGGCAGUUUACCCUUCCGAGCCUCCGUCACUUCAUCUGCAAAAUGGGAACAGCCACCUCAAGCACACUGCCUAGCAGGAUGCUUGGCACAAAGCAGGUGCUCAGUGGAUGGCAAUUAAGCCUUCAAAUCCUAGAAAACAUUCCCAAGACACAAGUUUUAAGUGUGAAAGGCCAAAGAGUAAAGUUUCAAGAGGAAAACCCUGUCGAACAGCUCUACGACCUUGCAUUUCUGAAAUAGGACACAGGGACUAGCUCUGAAAAAAACUGCCCCAAACUGGAGACUCCUCAAGUGUCCAUUAAAGUAGAAAGGAUAAGUUAUUUGUGGUAUAUUCACGCAGUGGAGGUCCACAUGGUGAUGAGAAGAAAUGAUCUACAAUUAAAUGCAAUACCGUGGUGAACCUCACAAUAGACUGCUGAGCAAAAGAAGGCGGACACCAAAGAGGACUUACUGUAUGAUUCAAAGGUCAAAACCGAGCAAAACCAAGUCAUAGUAGCAGACGUCAAGACAGUGGUUGACCUGGGCAUAGCACAGUGACCAGAAGAGCAUGUGGCAGGAGUUCUAGGGCGACGUGUUUCUGGAUCUGAGUGUGCUCCAUUUGUGAAGAUUCAUUGAACUGUACAUUGGAUCUGUACACCUUCUCUGUAUAUGUUAUACAGAGGUGCGCUGGUAAACCUGCUUUCCAAGAAAAAUAAAAAUCCCUGAUGUGUAGUGUUGUUUGCCAAAUCCCAGGGUGUCAAUAUUGCCAUCAUGGUGGAUUUCAGGGUGGUUGCCAACCAUUAAGCAACAGGUCAUGAAUCUCCUGUAUUUUUAGCUAUUCACUCUUGUGAGCUGGUAUUUCUACUAAACAAACUAACAAACAAAAAGCCCACCCCAGAGAACCUCAAGGAAGAGAAUUCCUGAGUUCCGUUCCCAUUCCUCAGAAUGUCCCAUUCCAGAUGUUCAGAGGUCCUCCUGGAGUCUCGGGGCCUAGAGAGGAAGGACAGCAGGCAGGAGGGGAAGGGUUUGCUGUUCUGACUGUCUGCUGUCUCUAUGUUAGACUGAGGGGGGACCAGGUUUUAAGAACGUUUGUCCUUUCGAAGACUAGUUCGGCAAGCCAGUCUUUCUCUUCUCAUUCCCUUGCAAUAAUUAGCUUAGGUGUGGACAUGCGGCUGCAUUCUGGCCAAUGGCACAUGGCAGUGGUGAGCUGGGGCACUUCUGGGGAAAGUUGCAUCAGUGUCUGGGUUGAUGGUACCAUCUCGUGAUGCAGAAAAUGUUGGAUCAGGAAGAUGGAAAGCAUCUGGGUCCUCAGCGAUGUCCAUCCUGGACCAGUGACAUUGAGAACCCUAAAGCUGCUCCAUCUCAGGACUUCCCUGCCUAUGUGGAAAUGAUAAAUGG